Molecule: long non-coding RNA, 501 nt
Organism: Bombus terrestris (buff-tailed bumblebee)
Lineage: Eukaryota; Metazoa; Arthropoda; Insecta; Hymenoptera; Apidae
Exons: 2
Source: RefSeq, a predicted model, not a curated record
ACUUCAGUUAGGGACAACCGAGCGUAGAUAGUGACAAUCGGAUUACUGGAAGGCCGGUUUGGCAAGCUUUCCGAUACGAAGUUAUAUAGACCUGGAGAUGGAAAUCUGGCGUUUAUUACUAUGGUGUUAGCCUUAAUUUAAAAAAAAUAUUAAAUAAUACAAAGAGAGAAAUAUUAGAAAAUUAGAAAUGCUUUUAGUUCGUUUGAAUUUCCAAGCUUUUUUUUUAAAUCAAGUGUAAUGUCAAUAUUUUUUAAUAUUUACAUACGCCUGUUAUCACAGUAAUUAUAUUAUUAUAAAAAUUAUUGGACUGCAAUAUACAAUGGAUGACAUUUGAUACAAAAAAAGUGCAUAGUUAUUCGACUAGUCUUGGUUUCAAACUGGUGUACAUAAUCAAUAAGUAAAUUUCUUCUUCGGUUGACCAUGUUCCUGGGCUUGCAAGCGACAUUUCAAUUUAGAGAAACUUAAGAACUCUCUGCGUUCAAAUUUCCAUCUCCAGUUUUU